CCUACGGGAGGCAGCAGUGGGGAAUUUUGCGCAAUGGGCGAAAGCCUGACGCAGCAACGCCGCGUGAGGGAUGAAUGCCUUCGGGUUGUAAACCUCUUUCAGCAGGGAUGAAACUGACAGUACCUGCAGAAGAAGCCCCGGCUAACUACGUGCCAGCAGCCGCGGUAAU
Molecule: ribosomal RNA, 169 nt
Filed under: uncultured Actinomycetes bacterium
Lineage: Bacteria; Bacillati; Actinomycetota; Actinomycetes
Description: uncultured actinobacterium partial 16S ribosomal RNA
Rfam family: Bacterial small subunit ribosomal RNA
Source: RNAcentral